Molecule: ribosomal RNA, 372 nt
Filed under: uncultured prokaryote
Description: bacterial SSU rRNA
Rfam family: Bacterial small subunit ribosomal RNA
Source: RNAcentral
GACGAAGGGGGCUAGCGUUGUUCGGAAUUACUGGGCGUAAAGCGAGUGUAGGUGGUUGUCAUAGUCAGGUGUGAAAGCCUUGAGCUCAACUCAAGAAAUGCACUUGAUACUAGGCGACUAGAGGACCGGAGAGGAUAGUGGAAUUCCCAGUGUAGUGGUGAAAUACGUAGAGAUUGGGAAGAACACCAGUGGCGAAGGCGGCUAUCUGGACGGUUUCUGACACUAAAACUCGAAAGCGUGGGGAGCAAACAGGAUUAGAUACCCUGGUAGUCCACGCCGUAAACGAUGGGUGCUAGACGUUGGCGGGCUUGCUCGUCAGUGUCGCAGCUAACGCGUUAAGCACCCCGCCUGGGGAGUACGGCCGCAAGGUUA